ACGAAAAGAGGAAUUAGAAUUCAGGAAAUGUUACCCAAGUGCUUCUCUCUAAAUGCAUGAGGCAUGAAGUCAGGCUGGAGGGUCCGUGGUGAAUGGUAAAUAUUGAAGGUGCCAACACCAUGCUGGAGGUCACAACACCCCAGGUCUGAGUAGUCCCCCAGUGUGAUGGGUUGAAUUGUGCCCCUCCUGAGAUUCAGAUGGUUCCGUCCUAAUCCCCAGAACCACGGAAUGUGACUCUGCUUGGAGAUAGGGUUUUUUACAGUGGCAUUCAAGUUAAAGUGUGGCCAUUAGGGCGGGUUCUGAUCCAACAUAGCUGGUGAUCUUAUUAAAAGGGGACAUUUACAUGCAGACAUGCAGACAGAGAAGCUGAUGUGAGAAAAUAUAGGGAGAACGCAGACGUCUGCAAGUCAAAAGGAGAGGGUGGAACAGAUUCUCCCUCCCAGCCCUCAGAAGGUGACACUCGUGCUGACUGACAUCUUGCUCACAGACUUCCAGCCUCGAAACUGAGACAACAAAUCUGUGUUAUGUAAACCACUCUGUGUGGUGCCUUGUUGUCGAAGGCCUAGCAGACAAAUACACCGAGCUUCCGGAAAAGCCAGAAAAGGAACAAGAUGGCCGCCAUCUCUUCUGCAGUUGUCCCUACUGGGAACCUCCAGGUGCCCCUCUGGUGAAAGAUUCGGACAUUAAAAUACGCCAUGAUGACGCUGGGUUGUGUAAAGCGAAUGCCAAGGAAGGGCUUCUAAUCGGACUCAGGGAGUCAGCAAGCCCUUCCGAGAAGUGUCUUCUAAGCAGACGAGUUAGCCAGACAGUGGCAAGGCGAGGAGGACCGCGUGAGCAAGGGUGCCAGGCCAAGAAGAAAAAUACCUCUUUUGUGAAAAGAUCCAUUUUUAGCUUUCCUGUUAGAAAACGCGAGCCAAAAAUUCACACGGGAAAUGGGAUCUGAAACGCCACCUUUCAUUCUGAAAUUCAGGAGAUGUUUGUUAGACGUGGUGCACGUGAGUGCACGAAGAACAGAAGACAACAUUCGUUUUGCACUCCAUUGUGAAUCCAUUGUUGGCAUUACCCUUGGAGAGAAUGUCAAGGAAUGGGGUCCAGGAAGCUUAUCUGAACUGGAAGAAUGAAGCCAGACACAGGCAUGCAGAGCUGAGAGGGGCAGAGACACAGGGCCCUGAGGACAUCUGGCACAGAAAUUGACACUGCGUGUUGACUCGGUCAACACAGUGAACACAAUAGCAGCUACUGAAUAAUGGACAGAUGCCUACGUAGAUGUGUGGACAGAUGGAAUAACGAUGGAUGGUCAGCGAGACUGAGGAGGAGGUAUGCACCUGCACUAUAAUUGGGACCAGAUGAAGAAUAUAGACCUGUACGUAGUGUAUUUCCUCUUCUGUUGUUUCUGUUCUGCACUAUUUGAAACAGCACCACACCCUCCUGCUUGCUUUGUAAAGCCAUGUCAAAUGCCAUGUUGCCUGUUGCCGGGAGUCUCUCUGAUUUUCCCCUGGCUGCCAUUGUUCAAAGGAAAGGGAACGUCUCAUCUGUGUGUGUUUCUAACAGCUUUUUAGGACUCAUCAUUGGCCAAGCUCACUCUGCAUAACUUUAAUUGACAUUAUAUUUAGAUUUACCGCUGUGGCUGACUUUUUUUUUUUUUUUUUACACUUUUAAUUGGAUUAUCUUCCAAAGGGAAAAUAUUAGAGCUUGAGUGGAAUUAUAUUAAGUGAAAAAAAUCUGCCUCGGAAGAUUUCAAGGAUUGAUGAUGCUUAGCAUCGUCACAGGGAUCUAGAGAAGGGAACUCACCUACC
Molecule: long non-coding RNA, 1796 nt
Organism: Leopardus geoffroyi (Geoffroy's cat)
Lineage: Eukaryota; Metazoa; Chordata; Mammalia; Carnivora; Felidae
Exons: 5
Source: RefSeq, a predicted model, not a curated record